This 284-nucleotide ribosomal RNA is filed under the name uncultured Ascomycota. RNAcentral's name for it is "partial 18S ribosomal RNA". It matches the Rfam family "Eukaryotic small subunit ribosomal RNA", at positions 548 to 836 of the family's 1831-position model. Lineage: Eukaryota; Fungi; Ascomycota. The record is from RNAcentral.
UUGGAGGGCAAGUCUGGUGCCAGCAGCCGCGGUAAUUCCGGCUCCAAUAGCGUAUAUUAAAGUUGUUGUGGUUAAAAACGCUCGUAGUUGAACCUUGGGCCUGGCUGGCCGGUCCGCCUCACCGCGUGUACUGGUCCGGCCGGGUCUUUCCCUCUGUGGAACCCCUAUGCCCUUCACUGGGUGUAGCGGGGAAACAGGACUUUUACUUUGAAAAACUUAGAGUGCUCCAGGCAGGCCUAUGCUCGAAUACAUUAGCAUGGAAUAAUAGAAUAGGACGUGUGGUU